GGGGAAUAUUGCACAAUGGGCGAAAGCCUGAUGCAGCAACGCCGCGUGUGUGAAGAAGGCCUUCGGGUUGUAAAGCACUUUCAGCGGGGAGGAAGGCGAUAAGGUUAAUAACCUUGUCGAUUGACGUUACCCGCAGAAGAAGCACCGGCUAACUCCGUGCCAGCAGCCGCGGUAAUACGGAGGGUGCAAGCGUUAAUCGGAAUUACUGGGCGUAAAGCGCACGCAGGCGGUCUGUCAAGGCGGAUGUGAAAUCCCCGGGCUCAACCUGGGAACUGCAUUCGAAACUGGCAGGCUAGAGUCUUGUAGAGGGGGGCAGAAUUCCAGGUGUAGCGGUGAAAUGCGUAGAGAUCUGGAGGAAUACCGGUGGCGAAGGCGGCCCCCUGGACAAAGACUGACGCUCAGGUGCGAAAGCGUGGGGAGCAAAC
RNAcentral lists this ribosomal RNA (425 nucleotides) under uncultured bacterium. RNAcentral's name for it is "bacterial SSU rRNA". It matches the Rfam family "Bacterial small subunit ribosomal RNA", at positions 356 to 773 of the family's 1533-position model. The record is from RNAcentral.